AUUGAACGCUGGCGGCAGGCCUAACACAUGCAAGUCGAGCGGAUGAAGGGAGCUUGCUCCUGGAUUCAGCGGCGGACGGGUGAGUAAUGCCUAGGAAUCUGCCUGGUAGUGGGGGAUAACGUCCGGAAACGGGCGCUAAUACCGCAUACGUCCUGAGGGAGAAAGUGGGGGAUCUUCGGACCUCACGCUAUCAGAUGAGCCUAGGUCGGAUUAGCUAGUUGGUGGGGUAAAGGCCUACCAAGGCGACGAUCCGUAACUGGUCUGAGAGGAUGAUCAGUCACCCUGGAACUGAGACACGGUCCAGCCCCCUACGGGAGGCAGCAGUGGGGAAUAUUGGACAAUGGGCGAAAGCCUGAUCCAGCCAUGCCGCGUGUGUGAAGAAGGUCUUCGGAUUGUAAAGCACUUUAAGUUGGGAGGAAGGGCAGUAAGUUAAUACCUUGCUGUUUUGACGUUACCAACAGAAUAAGCACCGGCUAACUUCGUG
RNAcentral lists this ribosomal RNA (484 nucleotides) under uncultured bacterium. RNAcentral describes it as "partial 16S ribosomal RNA". It matches the Rfam family "Bacterial small subunit ribosomal RNA", at positions 30 to 507 of the family's 1533-position model. The record is from RNAcentral.